CCUGGUGGCUCAGACGGUAAAGCAUCUGUCUACAAUGCAGGAGGCCCGGGUUCAAUCCCUGGGUCAGGA
This 69-nucleotide transfer RNA is filed under the name Bos taurus (domestic cattle). It matches the Rfam family "tRNA". From Rfam's summary of the family: Transfer RNA (tRNA) molecules are approximately 80 nucleotides in length. Their secondary structure includes four short double-helical elements and three loops (D, anti-codon, and T loops). The record is from Rfam by way of RNAcentral. Lineage: Eukaryota; Metazoa; Chordata; Mammalia; Artiodactyla; Bovidae. RNAcentral also lists the same sequence under 4 other names.